GAUUACAGCCAUACCACCCUGAACAUACCCGAUCUCAGCAGAUCUCAGAAGCUAAGCAGGAUUGGGCCUGGUUAGUACUUAGAAGGGAGAAAGGAAGGCGAAUAGUGAGAU
Erinaceus europaeus (western European hedgehog) is the source of this 111-nucleotide non-coding RNA. The record is from Rfam. NCBI's taxonomy places the organism in Eukaryota, Metazoa, Chordata, Mammalia, Eulipotyphla, Erinaceidae.